UUUUGCGUUAAUUGUUCCAUAUAAAAGUCAUCCUCCCUCUCUUUACAUAUAUAAAUAUUAAAAUACAAUCAAAUCUAUGUCAUAGAAAUCUCUAUAUAUUUUUUUCAAUUAAAUAUAUGUGUUAGGAUGGUCCUAGGACCAUCGUAGUUAGGACUGUCCUAAGACAGCUUUGUUUUACAUCCUAAGACAUGUCUCAGACACGUCCUAAGACCAUCCUAAAUAAUGUCCUAAGACCUAUCUUAGGACAUAUCCUAGGAUACUUUCAUUGACACGGCCCCUGUAU
RNAcentral lists this long non-coding RNA (283 nucleotides) under Mytilus galloprovincialis (Mediterranean mussel). Lineage: Eukaryota; Metazoa; Mollusca; Bivalvia; Mytilida; Mytilidae. The record is from RNAcentral.